This 253-nucleotide ribosomal RNA is filed under the name uncultured bacterium. Its description in RNAcentral is "partial 16S ribosomal RNA". It matches the Rfam family "Bacterial small subunit ribosomal RNA", at positions 524 to 776 of the family's 1533-position model. The record is from RNAcentral.
GACAGAGGGUGCAAACGUUGUUCGGAUUUACUGGGCGUAAAGCGCGUGUAGGCGGCUUUGCAAGUCGGAUGUGAAAGCCCACGGCUCAACCGUGGAAGUGCAUCCGAAACUGCAUGGCUGGAGUCUCGGAGAGGAAGGUGGAAUGCUUGGUGUAGAGGUGAAAUUCGUAGAUAUCGUAAGGAAGACCAGUGGCGAAGGCGAGUCUCUGGACAGUUACUGACGCUGAGGCACGAAGGCCAGGGGAGCAAACGGG